This 222-nucleotide ribosomal RNA is filed under the name Escherichia coli. RNAcentral's name for it is "partial 23S ribosomal RNA". It matches the Rfam family "Bacterial large subunit ribosomal RNA", at positions 1124 to 1345 of the family's 2925-position model. Lineage: Bacteria; Pseudomonadati; Pseudomonadota; Gammaproteobacteria; Enterobacterales; Enterobacteriaceae. The record is from RNAcentral.
UAAAGAAAGCGUAAUAGCUCACUGGUCGAGUCGGCCUGCGCGGAAGAUGUAACGGGGCUAAACCAUGCACCGAAGCUGCGGCAGCGACACUAUGUGUUGUUGGGUAGGGGAGCGUUCUGUAAGCCUGCGAAGGUGUACUGUGAGGUAUGCUGGAGGUAUCAGAAGUGCGAAUGCUGACAUAAGUAACGAUAAAGCGGGUGAAAAGCCCGCUCGCCGGAAGAC